RNAcentral lists this ribosomal RNA (400 nucleotides) under uncultured bacterium. Its description in RNAcentral is "bacterial SSU rRNA". It matches the Rfam family "Bacterial small subunit ribosomal RNA", at positions 355 to 768 of the family's 1533-position model. The record is from RNAcentral.
UCGAGAAUCUUCCACAAUGGACGAAAGUCUGAUGGAGCGACGCCGCGUGAUUGAUGAAGUCCUUCGGGACGUAAAGAUCUUUUAUGGGGGAGGAAGUUUAUUGACGUUACCCCAUGAAUAAGAGGUUGCUAAACUCGUGCCAGCAGCAGCGGUAAUACGAGUGCCUCAAGCGUUAUCCGGAAUUAUUGGGUGUAAAGGGUGUGUAGGCGGUCGUAUUAGUCUCUUGUUAAAGCCCCGCGCUUAACGUGGGAAUCGCAAGGGAAACGGUACGGCUAGAGAAUGUGAGAGGUAUACAGAACUCAUAGUGUAGGGGUGAAAUCCGUUGAUAUUAUGGGGAAUACCAAAUGCGAAGGCAGUAUACUGGCACAUUUCUGACGCUCAAACACGAAAGCGUAGGUAG